RNAcentral lists this ribosomal RNA (468 nucleotides) under uncultured bacterium. Its description in RNAcentral is "partial 16S ribosomal RNA". It matches the Rfam family "Bacterial small subunit ribosomal RNA", at positions 28 to 507 of the family's 1533-position model. The record is from RNAcentral.
GACGAACGCUGGCGGCGUGCUUAACACAUGCAAGUCGAACGGAAAGGCCCUGCUUUUGUGGGGUGCUCGAGUGGCGAACGGGUGAGUAACACGUGAGUAACCUGCCCUUGACUUUGGGAUAACUUCAGGAAACUGGGGCUAAUACCGGAUAGGAGCUCCUGCUGCAUGGUGGGGGUUGGAAAGUUUCGGCGGUUGGGGAUGGACUCGCGGCUUAUCAGCUUGUUGGUGGGGUAGUGGCUUACCAAGGCUUUGACGGGUAGCCGGCCUGAGAGGGUGACCGGCGACAGUGGGACUGAGGUACGGCCCAGACGCCUACGGGAGGCAGCAGUGGGGAAUAGUGCACAAUGGGCGGAAGCCUGAUGCAGCAACGCCGCUGGCGGGAUGACGGCCUUCGGGUUGUAAACCGCGUUCGCCUGUGACGAAGCGUGAGUGACGGUAAUGGGUAAAGACGCACCGGCUAACUACGUG